This 111-nucleotide transfer RNA is filed under the name Drosophila melanogaster (fruit fly). Its description in RNAcentral is "tRNA:H:48F". The stretch from base 6 to 77 matches the Rfam family "tRNA". Rfam says of the family: Transfer RNA (tRNA) molecules are approximately 80 nucleotides in length. The record is from RNAcentral. Lineage: Eukaryota; Metazoa; Arthropoda; Insecta; Diptera; Drosophilidae.
AUGUAGCCGUGAUCGUCUAGUGGUUAGGACCCCACGUUGUGGCCGUGGUAACCCAGGUUCGAAUCCUGGUCACGGCAAUGUUGAAACAAACAUUGUCACGGAGUUGGGUAU